This 1032-nucleotide long non-coding RNA is filed under the name Calidris pugnax (ruff). RNAcentral's name for it is "lncRNA (ENSCPUG00000011801.1)". The record is from RNAcentral. Lineage: Eukaryota; Metazoa; Chordata; Aves; Charadriiformes; Scolopacidae.
AGGUGGUGGUGGUGGUGGUGGUGGUGGUGGUGGUGGUGGUGCGGUUGGGUGGGAGCGGAGGGUGCGGUGAGGGCGGGACGCUCUGGGUUGUGUGAGGGCGGGAGGGCGCCACCCUGUCCCCUAAAAUACUUGGCACCACCCUAUCCCCUAAAAUACUUGGCACCGCGGCACCUUUUAAUUUUUCUCGCUGUGGUGCUUGUCCCCCUCCUUUCUCUGUUGUUGGCCUGUCCAAAUCGGCGGUGAGGCUUUACCAGUCAAGUCCAAGGGCCCGGCUCUUCUCGUGAAGGGGCCACAUGGCCAGAAUGUAUUAAAAAAAAAAUAAAUCUGUGACUUGAGAUAACCUUUUAAGGGUAAGGCUUAUUUAAAUGGGGCACAGCUUUCCUGUGGACUGAUCCAAGAAUGUGGAAUUAAUUCUCCAGGAGCUGUGGACAAUUGUAAAUCUGUUGUUCAGCGCGAGGCAUGUUCUUUGGCACUGGGCUUCUCUGACAGAAGUACAUAACUUCAGUUGUACUUUAACAUAAAAACUUCAAAGGAUCCAUGGAGAUUGUCAUGUUCCUUCCGAAGCAUCUGCAAUAUAGCAGCAGCAAUAGCGUUUUUACCAUGAGGUCACCGUGUCAACUACCAACAACAUAAUCGUCAUAAUUAAGAAAUUAUGUUUUAACCUGAUGAUGGAUGAUUCUUCUGCUGCUUGUUAGAAGAUUUUGUGUGUUCAGGCACAUGGCUCCUUUUGUUCUGUAAAAUACAAAAAUGGUUUAAUCCUCCUGACAUUUCGAUCCUGAAUUCUGUCUCCAUAGUACUGGAGCUACUAAACUGCUUUGCGCUGAAAUUCCAGAAAGCUGGAUACGUCAUUUCAUGUUCAGCUUUCCCAGAAACCCAGCACACAAUCCCAUCACCCCUUCAACAUCUACACAAUUCUCAGCGCAAGAGAGACUACAAAAGGCCAAGAUCCAUGGAGUCAGCAGAGGGGGAGACAGAAAAACAAGGUUUCCACUGAGGAGAGAGAGGCCACGGCGAUUACCUUGAGCGAUCCUU